CCUACGGGCGGCUGCAGUGGGGAAUAUUGCACAAUGGGCGCAAGCCUGAUGCAGCCAUGCCGCGUGUGUGAAGAAGGCCUUCGGGUUGUAAAGCACUUUCAGCGGGGAGGAAGGCGGUGAGGUUAAUAACCUCAUCGAUUGACGUUACCCGCAGAAGAAGCACCGGCUAACUCCGUGCCAGCAGCCGCGGUAAUACGGAGGGUGCAAGCGUUAAUCGGAAUUACUGGGCGUAAAGCGCACGCAGGCGGUCUGUCAAGUCGGAUGUGAAAUCCCCGGGCUCAACCUGGGAACUGCAUUCGAAACUGGCAGGCUAGUGUCUUGUAGAGGGGGGUAGAAUUCCAGGUGUUGCGGUGAAAUGCGUAGAGAUCUGGAGGAAUACCGGUGGCGAAGGCGGCCCCCUGGACAAAGACUGACGCUCAGGUGCGAAAGCGUGGGGAGCAAACAGGAUUAGAUACCCGGGUAGUC
RNAcentral lists this ribosomal RNA (465 nucleotides) under uncultured Klebsiella sp. RNAcentral's name for it is "bacterial SSU rRNA". It matches the Rfam family "Bacterial small subunit ribosomal RNA", at positions 338 to 795 of the family's 1533-position model. The record is from RNAcentral. Lineage: Bacteria; Pseudomonadati; Pseudomonadota; Gammaproteobacteria; Enterobacterales; Enterobacteriaceae.